CUGUAUCCAUCGUAAAUCUCAUAACCCUCUGAUCUUGGCUCCUUUACAUCGUAAUGCUUGUUGGAUGUACAUCUUCCACUGAUCUCGGCGCCUUUACUAGCGACCUAGUUGGUGGGUAUCCAUCGUAAAUCUCAUAACCCUCUGUGAUUUACUUCUUGCUGGCAUUGUCAACAUAGUGAGAUUUUAUCUCAAACCUGAGUCCAUCAAACUUUAGCUUACAAAUUUAACAUUUCGACCACAAAAAAAAUUUAGCUUAACA
Molecule: long non-coding RNA, 259 nt
Filed under: Brassica rapa (field mustard)
Lineage: Eukaryota; Viridiplantae; Streptophyta; Magnoliopsida; Brassicales; Brassicaceae
Description: long non-coding RNA (BRAP_LNC006982)
Source: RNAcentral